AAAAUUCUAAUCUCCCACCCAUGCCAAACACCUGUAUCUGACCCUAUGGAUUCAGGACUUUAAUGACAGCCAGCAGCCAAUUAGCCUUGCUCUACCUGUUCAAGCGGAGGAAGAAUGGGAAACAAGUUACAGCUGAACCAAUCAAAGAGUUGCAGUUUAAUUUGGAAACGACAGAAGUCACCUACAGUCUCAUCCAGAGAGAAUGCUUUAAGGAUGCAAUGAAGGUGAACGUCAUACAAGGUUGGAAGCAGGGACCACCUUUGGAAAGGAAUGACUUUAAUUGAACUGGAACUUUGAGGUUGUUGUUGUGCCUAUCUGAACCUGUGCUUCUUGAAUGGUUAAUAAUUCUAAAUAUGG
Molecule: long non-coding RNA, 357 nt
Organism: Ornithorhynchus anatinus (platypus)
Lineage: Eukaryota; Metazoa; Chordata; Mammalia; Monotremata; Ornithorhynchidae
Exons: 2
Source: RefSeq, a predicted model, not a curated record